AGUGAACGCUGGCGGUAGGCCUAACACAUGCAAGUCGAACGGCAGCACAGUAAGAGCUUGCUCUUACGGGUGGCGAGUGGUGGACGGGUGAGGAAUACAUCGGAAUCUACUUUUUCGUGGGGGGUAACGUAGGGAAACUUACGCUAAUACCGCAUACGACCUACGGGUGAAAGCAGGGGAUCUUCGGACCUUGCGCGAUUGAAUGAGCCGAUGUCGGAUUAGCUAGUUGGCGGGGUAAAGGCCCACCAAGGCGACGAUCCGUAGCUGGUCUGAGAGGAUGAUCAGCCACACUGGAACUGAGACACGGUCCAGACUCCUACGGGAGGCAGCAGUGGGGAAUAUUGGACAAUGGGCGCAAGCCUGAUCCAGCCAUACCGCGUGGGUGAAGAAGGCCUUCGGGUUGUAAAGCCCUUUUGUUGGGAAAGAAAAGCAGCAGGUUAAUACCCCGCUGUUCUGACGGUACCCAAAGAAUAAGCACCGGCUAACUUCGUG
RNAcentral lists this ribosomal RNA (492 nucleotides) under uncultured bacterium. Its description in RNAcentral is "partial 16S ribosomal RNA". It matches the Rfam family "Bacterial small subunit ribosomal RNA", at positions 29 to 507 of the family's 1533-position model. The record is from RNAcentral.